RNAcentral lists this ribosomal RNA (492 nucleotides) under uncultured bacterium. RNAcentral describes it as "partial 16S ribosomal RNA". It matches the Rfam family "Bacterial small subunit ribosomal RNA", at positions 29 to 507 of the family's 1533-position model. The record is from RNAcentral.
AGUGAACGCUGGCGGUAGGCCUAACACAUGCAAGUCGAACGGCAGCACAGUAAGAGCUUGCUCUUACGGGUGGCGAGUGGCGGACGGGUGAGGAAUACAUCGGAAUCUACUUUUUCGUGGGGGAUAACGGAGGGAAACUUACGCUAAUACCGCAUACGACCUACGGGUGAAAUCAAGGGAUCUUCGGACCUUGCGCGAUUGUAUGAGCCGAUGUCGGAUUAGCUAGUUGGCGGGGUAAAGGCCCACCAAGGCGACGAUCCGUAGCUGGUCUGAGAGGAUGAUCAGCCACACUGGAACUGAGACACGGUCCAGACUCCUACGGGAGGCAGCAGUGGGGAAUCUUGGACAAUGGGCGAAAGCCUGAUCCAGCCAUACCGCGUGGGUGAUGAAGGCCUUCGGGUUGUAAAGCCCUUUUGUUGGGAAAGAAAAGCAGCAGGUUAAUACCCCGCUGUUCUGACGGUACCCAAAGAAUAAGCACCGGCUAACUUCGUG